Non-coding RNA from Pelobates cultripes (western spadefoot toad), 3273 nucleotides. NCBI's taxonomy places the organism in Eukaryota, Metazoa, Chordata, Amphibia, Anura, Pelobatidae. The record is from the annotation of a GenBank genome assembly.
UGUUUUCAAAACAGUUUAUUUUAUUUAUUCUUUUUUUUUUUGUUAUCAGACAAACACAUUGAUUUCUGGACCACAGUAGAGGAUGGAAACCUUUCACAAACUUAUUUAUUUUGAAAAUACAAAUAUAAAAUUAUACUUUCCACAUCUAUGAUGUGAGAGACCCCCAUCCACAUAGUAAAUUACAUCAAGGCUUCGGGAAGCCGUACACAAAGACCUGAAAGAUGCGAUGCUUGAGAGAUAUAUAUAUAUAUAGAUACAUACAUAUGUAUAUAUAUAAAAAAAUAGUCACUACCAAAGUUCUCAUCAGUUCAUACUAAAGUAUAAAAGUAAGGGCUAGGUCUGCCACAGUGCCAUUAAGGUUAAUUUGUGUUCAGAUACGUAAAACCACCAACGAUGCUUACAUUGGCUUUACGUGAAAAACUCCAAAUCUAGAACUCACAAGAUACAUUAAAUCCUAGAUUUGACAGCACACCUCCAUUCCAGAAGAGGCACACAGAUCUUGCACUGGUUGCUUUGUGCAGUAUACAGUAAGCAUUGGUGACUUUUUUUUUCUUUUUAAAUUUUAUUUUCUAUCUACCCUGUUAGAUCAAGAAUAAAAUAAGAAGAAGAUACUAAAAAUAAAUGGAACUCAAAAAUUGAAAAUCUUCUGAAAAACAGUACAUUCUGAUUGUUCAGUGAUAUACGCGCAGAUCAAGUGGGCAACUUGGGUGUCUACUGUAAUUCUUUUCUUCAAUAGCCUAUUGAUUUCUUUCAGUUAUUUUUGGUAAAACUCAUUACAGUAUUUUGUAGUAUUGCUUAACAUACAGAACUAUUGUAGUGUUUACACAUGUCAAAAUUUGAACACUCAUGAAUACUUGUACAAUGUUCAUAGCAUGACCUUAUGAAACUACCAGUGUAUCUCAGUAGAGCUUCAUUCUAUUAGUGCUAAAACAGACGUGUCAAGGUCCUUAAAACCAAAUACAAGAUGUGUAACAAGCAUGAUAAAAUCAUCUUUUCAAGUUAAUUACAAGUUAGUGUUUUUUGUAAACAAUUGUACAUCACACAAAGGAUGGAUGAUUUCAUUAACAAUGUAAUAAACUAUAUUGCUUUAGUCUUGAUCAUGUGUAUGGCAAACAUUUAAAACAUCGGUGUGGCUAUGUCCCUAGCCCUCAUUCACACUUAAAGGUACAUAGAAUUGACAUUUAAAAAAUAAAAACCUGAAACAAAUAAUAAAAAAUUAGAAUAAAGUUCUUACACCUUUCAGGUCGUCAUUACCAACAAUUACCCAAUGAUUGAACUAGUCUAGUACAAUGUGCCUCAUUCAUCAGCUGUAAAUUGCUGUACAAUGAUAAAUAAAAUAACAGCAACAGAGCCAUGCUACCUUAAAGUCCAAGCUACAAGUUCAACUUAACGUGAACAUAGUGGAACCUACAAAACAAAUAGGACAGGAGAGACUUUAUCUUAACCAAGGAGGUUGUGCUCACUUGUGCAUUUUUUUAUAAAGAAUAAAAAACAAGCACUCAAAAUGAGAUGCCUGUACCCUACUGAUCGAAAGAAGGUGAUCUCAAAUGAUUAACUAGAUAUUGUGCUUGAACACAUGACUAUAGAGUAAAGGUAGAAGUGAAUUAACAUUCCAUCAGUUUCCGAAUGUACUAUUUUCAGGGGUUUAAGUUGUUUUUGUACAUAACUGACCUAUAGUAUCAUCUUAAUGUGUUUCUCUACUACUGUGUGCCACACUAAAUGGAAUUUAAUUUAGAAAGUUGAAAAUCUAAGGACAAAUCUCCUUUCUUCUUAAUAAUGUUCUAAAUUGUUGAAGGAGUGCAAGCCUUUGCCAUGUAAUCUGCUAGCCUAUUAAAAUAUUAAUACAUUCUAGUUUUACACAGGAUGCUUAAUAUGUAUGUCUAAGUGUAUUAACAAUUAUUAAGUGAAAUGGGAAUAGUUGUACGUGUUUUUACUUAACAAGGCUUGCAGAACAAGCUUGAAAUAAACUAUUAUGUUGCCAGUACCCAAUAUAAAAUGAAAGUACUUUAUUUAUUUUAUAGCACAUUUGGACUCUAGUGAUAUUAGCAUGAAAUCAUUAUUAACAAGGCACUGCUAGAAAAAGUGAAGAGAUGAUUAAGGCAUACACCUCCAGCGAAAAUAAAUUAUUUUGACAAAUUAUAUUGUGGGUAUAUUUUUUUAAAGAACAUCUGGUCUUAUUUUCCAGAUAGGAUAUAUUUAUAAUCUCUUCUGUAUAGAAUAUAUUAAUAACCUCUACUUUUGUAAAGGGGGACAAUAAAGAUUUAUAUUCCAUAGCUGUAUGCGUGAUUUGUUUAGCUGUGCGUGUUUAGUGAUCACCUGUAUUAUUUUGCUCUUGGCAUUUUUGGACAAUCCUAAAAGACCACUUUUUACAGGUAAGCUGUACUGUAACAGAUUACACAAACUAGGAGGCUCUUCGUAGUGAGUCAGUCUGAACUUUUAUGAUAUUUAUUAGCAGAACUCCUAUGAAAUGUGCAAAGGGACUCUCUAAAAAGACAUCAUGCUCGUGGUGAUGCUGGUUAGUUAAAUAAUCUUUUAACAGUAGGGAAUGUUCAAUCCCACGGAUUACAUGAUCUAAUCAUUCAGCAGUGACUAUUCAAUAUUUCAUUUGUUGGAGGUCGAUAAAAUGAGUACCAUUGAGCUGCGUAAUAAUAACUUUUAUAUCUCUGAACAUAUUUGAAAAUCUCAAUGUAUCACACUUUGAUUAAAAAGGCCUAGCACAAUGCGGUUUGAGUUAACCAACUGUGACCCCAUAAUAUGCUAACACAGGAAUAGCAGAAGGGACUAAGAGACCCACUGACAAAAGGUCUUGUAGAUCAUAUCAGCCAAGUUCAGUGCAGGUCUCUUUCCAGGCUAGAAAUUGAUUAGAAUACAAAAAAGGCUAGGAAUUGAUUAAUGUAAUAAUCAAUACAUGCACACUGUUGGCAUGUGUUUUAAUUUAACAUAUGUGACCAAGAUAUUAUUAUUAUUAUUAUAUGACUGCAAACGUAUGUUCUUGUAAGUGUUGUUUUAAGUGUUCCUAGAAGGCUGCGAGAUAAACUGAAUAUAUAUAUAUAUAUAAAAAAAAUCUAAUAGUUUGCACACAGAAAAAGGUUUCUGCCUAUAGCACUAAAUGUAUUUUUAAUAAAAUACAUAUAGGAUGAAAGGCUUAAAGGACCACUCUAGGCACCCAGACCACUUCAGCUUAAUGAAGUGGUCUGGGUGCCAGGUCCUUCUAGGGUUAACCCAUUUUUUAAUAAACAUAGCAGUUUCAGAGAAACUGCUAUGUUUAUGAAU